Molecule: ribosomal RNA, 524 nt
Filed under: uncultured bacterium
Lineage: Bacteria
Description: partial 16S ribosomal RNA
Rfam family: Bacterial small subunit ribosomal RNA
Source: RNAcentral
GACGAACGCUGGCGGCGUGCCUAAUACAUGCAAGUCGAGCGCAGGAAAUCGACGGAACCCUUCGGGGGGAAGUCGACGGAAUGAGCGGCGGACGGGUAAGUAACACGUAAAGAACCUGCCCUCAGGUCUGGGAUAACCACGAGAAAUCGGGGCUAAUACCGGAUGGGUCAUCGGACCGCAUGGUCCGAGGAUGAAAGGCGCUUCGGCGUCGCCUGGGGAUGGCUUUGCGGUGCAUUGGCUAGUUGGUGGGGUAAUGGCCCACCAAGGCGACGAUGCAGAGCCGACCGGAGAGGGGGAUCGGCCACACUGGGACUGAGACACGGCCCAGACUCCUACGGGAGGCAGCAGUAGGGAAUCUUCCACAAUGGACGAAAGUCUGAUGGAGCAACGCCGCGUGAACGAUGAAGGCCUUCGGGUCGUAAAGUUCUGUUGUAAGGGAAGAACAAGUGCCGCAGGCAAUGGCGGCACCUUGACGGUACCUUGCGAGAAAGCCACGGCUAACUACGUGCCAGCCGCCGCAGUAA